CUAAGAAUAUUCCGCAAUGGACGAAAGUCUGACGGAGCGACGCCGCGUGGAUGACGAAGGCCGAAAGGUUGUAAAGUCCUUUUGCUGGGGAAGAAUAACCAUGGGAGGGAAUGCCCGUGGGAUGACAUGAACCGGCGAAUAAGCCCCGGCUAACUACGUGCCAGCAGCCGCGGUAACACGUAGGGGGCGAGCGUUGUUCGGAAUUACUGGGCGUAAAGGGCAUGUAGGCGGCCUUGUAAGCCUGGCGUGAAAGUCACCGGCUCAACCGGUGGAUUGCGUUGGGAACUGCAGGGCUUGAAUCAUGGAGAGGGAGCUAGAAUUCCUGGUGUAGGGGUGAAAUCUGUAGAGAUCAGGAAGAAUACCAGUGGCGAAGGCGAGCUCCUGGCCAAUGAUUGACGCUGAGGUGCGAAAGUGUGGGGAUCAAACAGGAUUAGAUACCCUGGUAGUCCACACUGUAAACGAUGUGCACUAGGUGCUGGGGCGGAUGCUUCAGAACCGGCGCUA
This 504-nucleotide ribosomal RNA is filed under the name uncultured bacterium. Its description in RNAcentral is "bacterial SSU rRNA". It matches the Rfam family "Bacterial small subunit ribosomal RNA", at positions 355 to 854 of the family's 1533-position model. The record is from RNAcentral.